AGUUUGAUUAUGGCUCAGAUUGAACGCUGGCGGGAUGCUUUACACAUGCAAGUCGAACGGCAGCACGGACUUCGGUCUGGUGGCGAGUGGCGAACGGGUGGAGUAAUGUAUCGGAACGUGCCUAGUAGCGGGGGAUAACUACGCGAAAGCGUAGCUAAUACCGCAUACGCCCUUCGGGGGAAAGCGGGGACCUUCGGGCCUCUUCGCACUAGAGCGGCCGAUAUCGGAUUAGCUAGUUGGUGGGGUAACGGCUCACUACAGUGACGAUCCGUAGCUGGUUUGAGAGGACGACCAGCCACAUCGGGACUGGAGAUACGGCCCAGACUCCCACGGGAGGCAGCAGGGAAUUUUGGACAAUGGGGAACCCCGAUCCAGCCGUCCGCGUGUGCGAUGGCCUUCGCUGUA
RNAcentral lists this unclassified non-coding RNA (405 nucleotides) under uncultured Bordetella sp. RNAcentral's name for it is "partial 16S-23S ribosomal RNA intergenic spacer". It matches the Rfam family "Bacterial small subunit ribosomal RNA", at positions 10 to 422 of the family's 1533-position model. Lineage: Bacteria; Pseudomonadati; Pseudomonadota; Betaproteobacteria; Burkholderiales; Alcaligenaceae. The record is from RNAcentral.